This 378-nucleotide ribosomal RNA is filed under the name uncultured bacterium. Its description in RNAcentral is "partial 16S ribosomal RNA". It matches the Rfam family "Bacterial small subunit ribosomal RNA", at positions 338 to 733 of the family's 1533-position model. The record is from RNAcentral.
CCUACGGGAUGCAGCAGUGGGGAAUAUUGCACAAUGGGGGAAACCCUGAUGCAGCGACGCCGCGUGAGCGAUGAAGUAUUUCGGUAUGUAAAGCUCUAUCAGCAGGGAAGAAAAUGACGGUACCUGACUAUGAAGCCGCGGCUAACUACGUGACAGCAGCGGCGGUAAUACGUCGGGGGCAAGCGUUAUCCGGAUUUAAUGGGUGUAAAGGGAGCGUAGACGGUACUGCAAGCCAGAUGUGAAAGCCCGGGGCUCAACCCCGGGACUGCGUUUGGAACUGGACGGCUUGAGUGUCGGGGAGGUAUGCGGAAUUCCUAGUGUAGCGGUGAAAUGCGUAGAUAUUAGGAGGAACACCAGUGGCGAAGGCGGCCUGCUGGA